AGAGUUUGAUCCUGGCUCAGAGCGAACGCUGGCGGCGUGCUUAACACAUGCAAGUCGAGUGCGCAGCUUUCUGUAGCAAUACAGGGAGUAGGCGCACGGCGCACGGGUGCGUAACACGUGGGCAACAUGCCCUUGGAUGGGGAAUAACCCCGCGAAAGCGGGGCUAAUACCGCAUAACAUUCCUGGAACCUUGGUUUCGGGACUCAAAGCCGUAAGGCGUCCGAGGAGUGGCCCGCGCACGAUUAGCUAGUUGGCGAGGUAACGGCUCACCAAGGCGAUGAUCGUUAGCCGGUCUGAGAGGAUGGCCGGCCACACUGGAACUGAGACACGGUCCAGACUCCUACGGGAGGCAGCAGUGGGGAAUAUUGCGCAAUGGGCGAAAGCCUGACGCAGCGACGCCGCGUGGGGGAUGAAGCUUCUCGGAGUGUAAACCCCUUUCGACCCGGACGAAUGCCCCGCAAGGGGAGGGACGGUACGGGUAUAAGAAGCCCCGGCUAACUACGUGCCAGCAGCCGCGGUAAUACGUAGGGGGCCAGCGUUGCUCGGAAUAACUGGGCGUAAAGGGUUCGUAGGCGGUGCGGAAAGUUGGGAGUGAAAUCUCUGGGCUUAACUCAGGGACUGCUUUCAAAACUUCCGUGCUCGAGUGCGAGAGAGGCAAGUGGAAUUGCAGGUGUAGCGGUGAAAUGCGUAGAUAUCUGCAGGAACACCCGUGGCGAAGGCGGCUUGCUGGAUCGCAACUGACGCUGAGGAACGAAAGCUAGGGGAGCAAACAGGAUUAGAUACCCUGGUAGUCCUAGCCCUAAACGAUCAGAACUUGGGGUGCAUCCCGUUGGGGGUGCGUCUCGUAGCUAACGCGUUAAGUUCUGCGCCUGGGGAGUACGGUCGCAAGACUGAAACUCAAGGAAUUGACGGGGCCCGCACAAGCGGUGGAACAUGUGGUUCAAUUCGAUGCAACGCGAGAACCUUACCUGGCUUGAACUGCACCGGACAAAGGUAGA
RNAcentral lists this ribosomal RNA (998 nucleotides) under uncultured bacterium. Its description in RNAcentral is "bacterial SSU rRNA". It matches the Rfam family "Bacterial small subunit ribosomal RNA", at positions 8 to 1004 of the family's 1533-position model. The record is from RNAcentral.